UACGUAGGUGGCUAGCGUUGUCCGGAUUUACUGGGCGUAAAGAGCGCGCAGGCGGUCGUUCAAGUCGAGUGUGAAAGCCCCCGGCUCAACUGGGGAGGGUCACGCGAUACUGCUCGACUUGAAGGCAGGAGAGGGAAGUGGAAUUCCCGGUGUAGUGGUGAAAUGCGUAGAUAUCGGGAGGAACACCAGUGGCGAAGGCGACUUCCUGGCCUGUUCUUGACGCUGAGGCGCGAAAGCUAGGGUAGCAAACGGG
This 253-nucleotide ribosomal RNA is filed under the name uncultured bacterium. Its description in RNAcentral is "partial 16S ribosomal RNA". It matches the Rfam family "Bacterial small subunit ribosomal RNA", at positions 524 to 776 of the family's 1533-position model. The record is from RNAcentral.